Molecule: transfer RNA, 77 nt
Filed under: Moraxella bovoculi
Lineage: Bacteria; Pseudomonadati; Pseudomonadota; Gammaproteobacteria; Moraxellales; Moraxellaceae
Description: tRNA-Met
Rfam family: tRNA
About the family: Transfer RNA (tRNA) molecules are approximately 80 nucleotides in length. Their secondary structure includes four short double-helical elements and three loops (D, anti-codon, and T loops).
Source: RNAcentral
GAGCCAUUAGCUUAAUUGGUUAAAGCAGCGAACUCAUAAUUCGUUGAGUACAGGUUCGAGUCCUGUAUGGCUCACCA